GAGUUUGAUCCUGGCUCAGAGUGAACGCUGGCGGCGUGCCUAAUACAUGCAAGUCGAACGAUGAAUCUUCUAGCUUGCUAGAAGUGGAUUAGUGGCGCACGGGUGAGUAAUGCAUAGGUUAUGUGCCCUUUAGUCUGGGAUAGCCACUGGAAACGGUGAUUAAUAUCUGGAUACUCCCUACGGGGGAAAGUUUUUCGCUAAAGGAUCAGCCUAUGUCCUAUCAGCUUGUUGGUGAGGUAAUGGCCCACCAAGGCUAUGACGGGUAUCCGGCGUGAGAGGGUGAUCGGACACACUGGAACUGAGACACGGUCCAGACUCCUACGGGAGGCAGCAGUAGGGAAUAUUGCUCAAUGGGGGAAACCCUGAAGCAGCAACGCCGCGUGGAGGAUGAAGGUGAAGGAUUGUAAACUCCUU
RNAcentral lists this ribosomal RNA (414 nucleotides) under uncultured bacterium. Its description in RNAcentral is "bacterial SSU rRNA". It matches the Rfam family "Bacterial small subunit ribosomal RNA", at positions 9 to 435 of the family's 1533-position model. The record is from RNAcentral.